This 28-nucleotide small RNA is filed under the name Arabidopsis thaliana (thale cress). Its description in RNAcentral is "ATSL230540". The record is from RNAcentral. Lineage: Eukaryota; Viridiplantae; Streptophyta; Magnoliopsida; Brassicales; Brassicaceae.
CCUGAUUCAUCUUCUUCGUCACCGUUAG